RNAcentral lists this unclassified non-coding RNA (391 nucleotides) under soil metagenome. Its description in RNAcentral is "partial contains 5.8S ribosomal RNA, internal transcribed spacer 2, and large subunit ribosomal RNA". The stretch from base 1 to 122 matches the Rfam family "5.8S ribosomal RNA", at positions 35 to 154 of the family's 154-position model. The record is from RNAcentral.
GAUGAAGAACGUAGUGAAAUGCGAUACUUGGUGUGAAUUGCAGAAUCCCGUGAACCAUCGAGUCUUUGAACGCAAGUUGCGCCCGAAGCCAUUAGGCCGAGGGCACGCCUGCCUGGGCGUCACACGUCGUUGCCCCCCCAUCUACUCCUUCGGGAUUGCGGGGGGCGGAUGAUGGCCUCCCGUGCGCCUCGCCGCGCGGUUGGCAUAAAUGCCAAGUCCUCGGCGACGCACGCCACGACAAUCGGUGGUUGCGAAACCUCGGUUGCCCGUCGUGUGCGGUCGUCGCGCAUCGAGGGCUCGAAAAAAUUGCUGGGUUCCGGCUCGGCUUUCAACGCGACCCCAGGUCAGGCGGGGUUACCCGCUGAAUUUAAGCAUAUCAAUAAGCGGAGGA